ACAUUCAACUCAUUAUUAAUG
RNAcentral lists this microRNA (21 nucleotides) under Brachypodium distachyon (stiff brome). Its description in RNAcentral is "bdi-miR7776-5p.2". The record is from miRBase by way of RNAcentral. Lineage: Eukaryota; Viridiplantae; Streptophyta; Magnoliopsida; Poales; Poaceae.